RNAcentral lists this long non-coding RNA (1593 nucleotides) under Macaca fascicularis (crab-eating macaque). RNAcentral's name for it is "lncRNA (ENSMFAG00000049316.1)". Lineage: Eukaryota; Metazoa; Chordata; Mammalia; Primates; Cercopithecidae. The record is from RNAcentral.
UUUUUUUGUUUUUUUUUUUUUGAGACAGAGUCUCGCUCUUUUGCCCAGGCUGGAGUGCAGUGGCCGGAUCUCAGCUCACUGCAAGCUCCGCCUCCCAGGUUUACGCCAUUCUCCUGCCUCAGCCUCCCGAGUAGCUGGGACUACAGGAGCCCGCCACCUCGCCCGGCUAGUUUUUUGUAUUUUUUAGUAGAGACAGGGUUUCACUGUGUUAGCCAGGAUGGUCUCAAUCUCCUGACCUCGUGAUCCGCCCACCUCGGCCUCCCAAAGUGCUGGGAUUACAGGCAUGAGCCACUGUGCCCGGCCAUCUUGUGCCUCUUUCUAACACCAAGGACGCCCUUCCUAGAUGACCUCCUCCACCCCGCUCCCAAGACUUCCCCUCGCAUUUCACUGGCUGGAACUGCAUCCCAUGUCCAUUCCUCAAGCAAUCCCUGGCAAGGGAAUGGGAAACAAUCUCCCCUCACUGCCCGCGGUCACUCUCCUGUGGGUCUUUCCCUGAACACACAGGGACGUUUGCUCCUGCUGGUGCCUCCGCGUGGAAGGCCCUUCCUGAUUCUUCCAUCUCGAAGAGUCAUCUUUCAAAGCUGCCUCCAAAGGUACUCUUCCACCUGCAGGCUGGCUCAGGGUCUCUUCUGCGUUCACAGCCUUCCAGGACCCCUACCGGAUGUGGCUUGUUUCUGUGGCUCAGAAAUGCGACCUCUUCCCAGCCCCAUGAGACCACAAUCAGCACAGCUGGCCAUGGUGAGGACUCCCAGCCCGCUGGACCUGGGCCUGGGGCAGCCACAACCCUGCCCUCACCCCUGCCCAGGGUUGGGUAUGACCUCUGGGAAAAGCCUCAGGAGAGGACUGGGACUGAAAGAAAAACACCCAUUUGAUGGAGAAGCAAACUGAGGCUUAGUGAGGGGUGUGACUUGCCCAAGGUCAUGGUCAGGGCCAGUCUUAGCUCCACAUCUCUCUCUCAGGCCUGGGCCCUGGGCCCCACUCCAGUGCUCCCCAGACUUUGAAGGUCCCGUGAAUCACUGGGGCACCUGUUAAAAUGCAGACGCUGGUUCAGUAGGUCGGGGUGGGGCUGGACUUGCUAUUUCUCACUUGCUUCCGCUGCCACUGGCCUGUAAGCCACACUGGGGGCGUCGCAGUCCUUACUAAGGGGGACCUUGGAUUUUCAGCCCCACCCUCAGAAGCCCAGAGGCCACUGCUUUAGGAAGGGUGGGGUGUGGGUAGGGUGUGAGUAGGGAAGCCACUUCAAGAAACCCCAAUCUCCAUUUCUGUUCUAUCAGCCAUCUAGGACACCAGAACUUGCUGGAACAUUUUAUUAAGUUAAGAGGUUCAGGGGGCAGGAGAGAAUCACCUUUUGGGUGGCUCCGGCGGUUCCGCACCCAGCACAGCCUCAGAGGAGGCUGUGGGGCCAUGGAAGCCAGCUGCUGGCUCCCUCUGUCCUGAGCCCCAUGGUACAGGUCCAAAUGGGGCAGGAAGUGUUAGUAGGAGGUAGGGUAGGAGGAAGGUGGCAGGCUCCCGCCUCUCCCCUGCAGAGAUACCCUGCCAUGGCUGCUGCCUGGGCCUCCGCCAGACCCCCGGACCAGGGCCACGAGCCCAGAA